Molecule: non-coding RNA, 21 nt
Filed under: Caenorhabditis elegans
Lineage: Eukaryota; Metazoa; Nematoda; Chromadorea; Rhabditida; Rhabditidae
Source: RNAcentral
UAAAAAUGUAGAAUGAGAAUG